This 467-nucleotide ribosomal RNA is filed under the name uncultured bacterium. RNAcentral describes it as "partial 16S ribosomal RNA". It matches the Rfam family "Bacterial small subunit ribosomal RNA", at positions 28 to 507 of the family's 1533-position model. The record is from RNAcentral.
GACGAACGCUGGCGGCGUGCUUAACACAUGCAAGUCGAACGAUGACGACCGAGCUUGCUCGGUCUGAUUAGUGGCGAACGGGUGAGUAACACGUGAGCAACCUGCCCUUCACUCUGGGAUAACCUCGGGAAAUCGGGGCUAAUACCGGAUAUGAGCUCCUGUCGCAUGGCGGGUGUUGGAAAGUUUUUCGGUGAAGGAUGGGCUCGCGGCCUAUCAGUUUGCUGGUGAGGUAGUGGCUCACCAAGGCGAUGACGGGUAGCCGGCCUGAGAGGGCGACCGGCCACACUGGGACUGAGACACGGCCCAGACUCCUACGGGAGGCAGCAGUGGGGAAUAUUGCACAAUGGGCGAAAGCCUGAUGCAGCGACGCCGCGUGAGGGAUGACGGCCUUCGGGUUGUAAACCUCUUUCAGCAGGGAAGAAGCGAAAGUGACGGUACCUGCAGAAGAAGCGCCGGCUAACUACGUG